Molecule: non-coding RNA, 216 nt
Filed under: Carnobacterium divergens
Lineage: Bacteria; Bacillati; Bacillota; Bacilli; Lactobacillales; Carnobacteriaceae
Source: RNAcentral
AGUUACCUGAUGAAAGAAAAAGUAAACAAAAUUAGCGAGUAUAAAGAGAGGAUCUUCGAUGGCUGAAAAAGAUUCCCGUAAUUUUGAUUGAAAGACACUCUGGAGGGUUAGCAGUGCAAAGCUGUUACGUUUACGAGCGUUAAUCGUUGAGGAAAGCAUCCAUUGCUUUCAAAAAAAGGUGGUACCACGGUCUAAUUCAUUUCGCUCGUCCUUAUU